Molecule: transfer RNA, 72 nt
Filed under: Pseudomonadota bacterium
Lineage: Bacteria; Pseudomonadati; Pseudomonadota
Also listed under: 1 other name
Description: Proteobacteria bacterium (gut metagenome) tRNA-Val
Rfam family: tRNA
About the family: Transfer RNA (tRNA) molecules are approximately 80 nucleotides in length. Their secondary structure includes four short double-helical elements and three loops (D, anti-codon, and T loops).
Source: RNAcentral
GGGCAUAUAGCUCAGCGGGAGAGCAUCGGCCUUACAAGCCGAGGGUCGCAGGUUCAAACCCUGCUGUGCCCA